GUGAAUCAUCAAAUUUUUGAACGCAUAUUGCACUCUCUGGUAUUCCGGAGAGUAUGCCUGUUUGAGGGUAAUUAAAAAGAAUCUUUAACCAAUUUUUUUGGUCAAAGGAUAUGAGUUCUCCGCGUUUAUAGCGGUAGCUUGAAAUAAAUGGUCAAGUCUCAUUUAGUCGGAGCGCGUUAUUAUAUUAAUUCGGCAAAAUCUCAUU
RNAcentral lists this unclassified non-coding RNA (205 nucleotides) under Ambisporaceae sp. Its description in RNAcentral is "partial contains 5.8S ribosomal RNA and internal transcribed spacer 2". The stretch from base 1 to 71 matches the Rfam family "5.8S ribosomal RNA", at positions 84 to 154 of the family's 154-position model. The record is from RNAcentral. Lineage: Eukaryota; Fungi; Glomeromycota; Glomeromycetes; Archaeosporales; Ambisporaceae.